GAUUAAUUCUUAACCUAUUAAAAUAAAAUACAAUUCCUCCUUGAUCAUCAAGAUUCUGCAUACGUGGGAUUGGUGCAGCAUAGCCAUCUUUUGGUUGAAGAAGGCUUCUUGUGUUUUAUUAACGAGGCCGUCGCCGCCGUUGUGUCGUCCAGCAAUCGGGGUUGUUCUUCCUUUCGAUUUCCUGCUCUUUUCAAAUUCCUAGCCUUGUCAAAGAUAACAGAAAAUUCUGUGGCUGCCGCCGGAUUAUUUACAUCCCAUUCUCCGAAUUUCGGCAAUGGAACACUUCUUUCCGUCGACAUUUUCAGAAGAGCAAAAAGGGUGAAAAGAUGUUCCCACACGUCCUCUCUAUUUCACCCUGAUUGCCAACCCUCUUUUAUUUUUUAUUUAUCUGUUGUUUUUCUCCCUUCUUUAAUCAUCAGAGAAUCUGCGUAAAUUCGUCUAAUAAUAGUGUGAAUGCGGGUGAAUCCAGCGUACGUGUAUGAUUCUAG
Molecule: long non-coding RNA, 488 nt
Filed under: Olea europaea subsp. europaea
Lineage: Eukaryota; Viridiplantae; Streptophyta; Magnoliopsida; Lamiales; Oleaceae
Source: RNAcentral